This 301-nucleotide ribosomal RNA is filed under the name uncultured bacterium. RNAcentral describes it as "partial 16S ribosomal RNA". It matches the Rfam family "Bacterial small subunit ribosomal RNA", at positions 509 to 808 of the family's 1533-position model. The record is from RNAcentral.
CAGUCGCCAGCGGUAAGACAGAGGGUGCGAGCGUUAAUCGGAUUUACUGGGCGUAAAGCGUGCGUAGGCGGCUUCUUAAGUCGGAUGUGAAAUCCCUGAGCUUAACUUAGGAAUUGCAUUCGAUACUGGGAAGCUAGAGUAUGGGAGAGGAUGGUAGAAUUCCAGGUGUAGCGGUGAAAUGCGUAGAGAUCUGGAGGAAUACCGAUGGCGAAGGCAGCCAUCUGGCCUAAUACUGACGCUGAGGUACGAAAGCAUGGGGAGCAAACAGGAUUAGAUACCCCCGUAGUCCCUGUCUCUUAUU